RNAcentral lists this ribosomal RNA (1285 nucleotides) under uncultured bacterium. Its description in RNAcentral is "bacterial SSU rRNA". It matches the Rfam family "Bacterial small subunit ribosomal RNA", at positions 198 to 1502 of the family's 1533-position model. The record is from RNAcentral.
CAGUCAAAGAUUUAUCGGUAUAGGAUGGACCCGCGUCUGAUUAGCUAGUUGGUGAGGUAACGGCUCACCAAGGCGACGAUCAGUAGCCGACCUGAGAGGGUGAUCGGCCACACUGGAACUGAGACACGGUCCAGACUCCUACGGGAGGCAGCAGUGGGGAAUAUUGCACAAUGGGGGAAAGCCUGAUGCAGCAACGCCGCGUGAGCGAUGAAGGCCUUCGGGUCGUAAAGCUCUGUCCUAAGGGAAGAAGAAUGACGGUACCUUAGGAGGAAGCCCCGGCUAACUACGUGCCAGCAGCCGCGGUAAUACGUAGGGGGCAAGCGUUAUCCGGAAUCACUGGGCGUAAAGGGUGCGUAGGCGGCCAAUCAAGUCUGAGGUGAAAGGCUACGGCUUAACCGUAGUAAGCCUUGGAAACUGGUUGGCUUGAGUGCAGGAGAGGAGAGUGGAAUUCCUAGUGUAGCGGUGAAAUGCGUAGAUAUUAGGAGGAACACCAGUGGCGAAGGCGACUCACUGGACUGUAACUGACGCUGAGUCACGAAAGCGUGGGUAGCAAACAGGAUUAGAUACCCUGGUAGUCCACGCUGUAAACGAUGAGUGCUAGGUGUUGGCUAGCGAUACUUCUGUGCCGCAGUUAACACAAUAAGCACUCCGCCUGGGGAGUACGGUCGCAAGACUGAAACUCAAAGGAAUUGACGGGGACCCGCACAAGCAGCGGAGCAUGUGGUUUAAUUCGAAGCAACGCGAAGAACCUUACCAAGAUUUGAAAUCCCCUUGACUGACCGGAACUUAAUCGUUCCUUUCCUUCGGGACAGAGGAGACAGGUGGUGCAUGGUUGUCGUCAGCUCGUGUCGUGAGAUGUUGGGUUAAGUCCCGCAACGAGCGCAACCCUUAUCUUUAGUAGCCAGCACGUUAAGGUGGGAACUCUAGAGAGACUGCCGAGGAUAACUCGGAGGAAGGUGGGGAUGACGUCAAAUCACAUGCCCCUUAUGAUCUGGGCUACACACGUGCUACAAUGGCGAUAACAAAGGGAAGCGAAAGGGUGACCUGGAGCAAACCCCAGAAAAAUCGUCCCAGUUCGGAUUGUAGUCUGCAACUCGACUACAUGAAGUUGGAAUCGCUAGUAAUCGCGAAUCAGAAUGUCGCGGUGAAUACGUUCCCGGGUCUUGUACACACCGCCCGUCACACCAUGGGAGUUGGAAGCGCCCGAAGCCAGUGACUCAACCGUAAGGAGAGAGCUGUCGAAGGUGAAGCCAAUGACUGGGGUGAAGUCGUAACAAGGUAACCC